Molecule: long non-coding RNA, 519 nt
Filed under: Sinocyclocheilus anshuiensis
Lineage: Eukaryota; Metazoa; Chordata; Actinopteri; Cypriniformes; Cyprinidae
Description: lncRNA (ENSSANG00000040923.1)
Source: RNAcentral
UGUAAAUGUCAUGAAGGCUGUAAAUAAUUUCCUUGUGUCUUGGCAGAUCCCAAAUUCUUUGAUAACUUUUCAGUUGACACAGACACAACCUGCACGCCAAUACCAGAAGAUGCUUCUUUCCCAGAUGAAGUGCAAAGCAGAAAGCGAAAAGUUGAUGCAACUUCAGACAAAACCCGCAGAUCCAAACGCAACAAAAAAGCAACAGCGUGGCCUGAAAGUCCCUCAAACGGAAGGCUGCCCAACAUUACCCCUGAGAGUAGUUUCCAUCUGAGCUCAAACCCAUUCCAGCAUGUAUUACGCAUUCCCUUCAGCCCCCCUCUUCUGCCCCCUAGUGGAGGUUCACCACUACAAUUCAUCCAGACCAUCGGCCCUUAUACGGCGCCUCUAAUUGGCACUGUGGUUCCAACAGGGCCUACAUACGUGAUUGUAUCUGCAGUGUCGCCCCAAUGUGUGAGUCCAGGCACUCAGAUAAUUCCGCUUUCACCUGGUAAGUUAAAAAGAAGAUGGUCACAUGAGUAA